RNAcentral lists this unclassified non-coding RNA (275 nucleotides) under uncultured fungus. RNAcentral describes it as "sequence contains ITS1, 5.8S rRNA gene". The stretch from base 227 to 275 matches the Rfam family "5.8S ribosomal RNA", at positions 1 to 49 of the family's 154-position model. The record is from RNAcentral. Lineage: Eukaryota; Fungi.
UUUCCGUAGGUGAACCUGCGGAAGGAUCAUUAAUGAAUGAAUUCGGAGGUUUGGGUUGUCGCUGGCCUCUUCACCGAGGCAUGUGCACGCCUCCUCUGUUCAUCCACCACACACCUGUGCACUUGUGAUUCGGGUUGUCCCUCUCGCGGGGGGCGGUCCGUCUUAUUAUACAUAAACUCUAUCAUCAUAAAUCAGAAUGUAAUCGAUGUAAACACAUCUUUGAACUAAGUUUCAACAACGGAUCUCUUGGCUCUCGCAUCGAUGAAGAACGCAGC